This 334-nucleotide unclassified non-coding RNA is filed under the name soil metagenome. RNAcentral's name for it is "partial contains 5.8S ribosomal RNA, internal transcribed spacer 2, and large subunit ribosomal RNA". The stretch from base 1 to 120 matches the Rfam family "5.8S ribosomal RNA", at positions 35 to 154 of the family's 154-position model. The record is from RNAcentral.
GAUGAAGAACGCAGCGAAAUGCGAUAAGUAAUGUGAAUUGCAGAAUUCAGUGAAUCAUCGAAUCUUUGAACGCACAUUGCGCCCGCCAGUAUUCUGGCGAGCAUGCCUGUUCGAGCGUCAUUUCAACCAUCAAGCCCCAGGCUUGUGUUGGAGCCCUGCGGCUGCCGCAGCCUCCCAAAACCAGUGGCGGGCUCGCUAUCACACCGAGUGCAGUAGUUUACUCUUCGCUCAGGGCGUGUGGCGGGUGCUAGCCGUGAAACCCCCAACUUCUCAAGGUUGACCUCUGAUCAGGUAGGAAUACCCGCUGAACUUAAGCAUAUCAAUAAGCGGAGGA